RNAcentral lists this ribosomal RNA (497 nucleotides) under uncultured bacterium. Its description in RNAcentral is "partial 16S ribosomal RNA". It matches the Rfam family "Bacterial small subunit ribosomal RNA", at positions 28 to 507 of the family's 1533-position model. The record is from RNAcentral.
GAUGAACGCUGGCGGCGUGCCUAAUACAUGCAAGUCGAGCGAACAGACGAGGAGCUUGCUCCUCUGACGUUAGCGGCGGACGGGUGAGUAACACGUGGAUAACCUACCUAUAAGACUGGGAUAACUUCGGGAAACCGGAGCUAAUACCGGAUAAUAUAUUGAACCGCAUGGUUCAAUAGUGAAAGACUGUUUUGCUGUCACUUAUAGAUGGAUCCGCGCCGCAUUAGCUAGUUGGUAAGGUAACGGCUUACCAAGGCAACGAUGCGUAGCCGACCUGAGAGGGUGAUCGGCCACACUGGAACUGAGACACGGUCCAGACUCCUACGGGAGGCAGCAGUAGGGAAUCUUCCGCAAUGGGCGAAAGCCUGACGGAGCAACGCCGCGUGAGUGAUGGAGGUCUUCGGAUCGUAAAACUCUGUUAUUAGGGAAGAACAAAUGUGUAAGUAACUAUGCACGUCUUGACGGUACCUAAUCAGAAAGCCACGGCUAACUACGUG